This 1390-nucleotide long non-coding RNA is filed under the name Bos indicus x Bos taurus (hybrid cattle). Its description in RNAcentral is "lncRNA (ENSBIXG00000008503.1)". Lineage: Eukaryota; Metazoa; Chordata; Mammalia; Artiodactyla; Bovidae. The record is from RNAcentral.
CUCGAGGCUAAUUCCUUAACCGAAGGGAAAGAAGGGAAGAGCGCCGGGUAGAGCUCGGUCAGUGCUCGGAGGGGGACUGGCCUAGAGCGGUCACUAGAAAGGCGAGGACCCGCGAAACCGAAUAUACACAUUCCCAGCAGCUCUGUCUUUCCAGGCACGCGGAGUAAGUUGGCUGGAACUCCCCGUGACCGCUCAGCCGGGCGUGCAGGGCUGCAGCGGCGCAAAGCCUGUUCCAGAGCGGCCGCAGCGGCGCGGGCAGGAGGGGUACCCAGGUGGGGCCGCGCGCCCUCCGCGGGGGAUAGGUGAUCCCGCUCCCGAGUCCGAGAGGGAGCCAGGUGAGCGUCCGCCCGGGUCCGCCGGUGACCAGAUCCAACAGCACCGAAGGCAAGUUCUGGCUGCCAAGAAGGGAGCUGCAGGGUUGAAGCAUCCUCUCCCAGCCUCCUCCCACAGGACCAAGUCCUCACCAUCAGUUUUCUCUGUCUUUAAAAAACAACUUUUUUCUUUAUAUAUAUAUAUAUUUCAUUGAAGUAUAAUUGACUUACAAUGUUUCAAGUGCACAGCAAGGUGAUUCAGUUAUAAAUAUACACACAAUAUAAAUAUACAUAUAAAUAUACACAUAUAAAUAUAUACAUAUCAGAGAAGGCAAUGGCACCCCACUCCAGUACUUUUGCCUGGAAUAUCCCAUGGAUGGAGCCUGGUGGGCUGCAGUCCAUGGGGUCGCUAAGAGUUGGAUACAACUGAGUGACUUCACUUUCACUUUUCACUUUCAUGCAUUGGAGAAGGAAAUGGCAACCCAGUCCAGUGUUCUUGCCUGGAGAAUCCCAGGGACGGGGGAGCCUGGUGGGCUGCCGUCUGUGGGGUUGCACAGAGUCGGACACGACUAAAGUGACUUAGAAGCAGCAGCAGCAUACACAUAUAUUAUUUUUCAGAUUAUUUUCCAUAAUAGGUUAUUAUAUGAUAUUGACUGCAGUUCCCUGUAAUAUACAGUAAACUUUUGUUGCUUGUUGCAUAUCUUUUUUUUUUUAAUUAGAAAUCUAACAAGGUAUCAUUUAUAUGCCACAAAAAUAUCUGUUUUAAGUGUACAAUUCAAUGGUAUUUAGUACAUUUAAAGAGUUGUACAUAUCCUGUAAUCUAAUUUUAGAAUAUAUCCAUCAUCCCCCCCAGAAAGAAGCCUCCUGUGCAUUUGUGUUCAGACCCAAUUCUUACCCCCAGGCCCAGGCAACCACUGAUCUGCUUUCUGUCUGAACAGUUUUAUAUGCGGAUGAAACAGGGGAUGUCUUGCAAACAGUAUCUGCUGGGCACUUGGGAUGAAGCAAAACACAGACCAGUUGACUAUUUUUCAUAGUCUCAGAAAAAUAAAAAAAUUCAGUAACUUUAAGGUAUAAUAAUU